This 32681-nucleotide long non-coding RNA is filed under the name Malus domestica (apple). RNAcentral's name for it is "long non-coding RNA (MDOM_LNC004804)". Lineage: Eukaryota; Viridiplantae; Streptophyta; Magnoliopsida; Rosales; Rosaceae. The record is from RNAcentral.
AAGAAAGAAGAGGUCGGACGAAUCAAGAUCUUAGAAGUGCAAGAAGGGAGUUUUCACAAGUAAAAUUCAAGUGUGCUUUGAAACGAACAGCGUGCCUCUAUAAAAAAUCAGCACUCGACGGGAUUUCAGAGAUCGAAGAGGUGAGCUCAGAAAUCGGAGAAGCAUCUUGCUUUUCCAGCCAUGUCAGCACCCAUCACACGCAAACUCAGCUUUGCGGAAAUCACGGGUAAUUUGUCGAAGCGCCGAUCCCAAUUAUCGAAGAGGCGCCAGUCUUUUUCAGCCGCGUCAACACCUGUCAUAUGCACACUCAGCUUGGCGGAAAUUACGGACAAUUUGUCGAAGAUUUCUGAUAAAGAAGAAAGCACGUGAAGCCAUAUAGAUCAAUCACGCAUUGGUUGCCGACACGAGUGAAAGAAUAAUACCUCUACAGGUAUCAAAGAACUUCCUAUAAUUGUCUACCUUCGUCUUCCAUAGCAAGGCAAACAUACAGAGCCUUUCUUCAUCUCCAAAAAUGCUUUCCCAACGAAGCCUCUCGAGUCAUUCAAUGUUCCUUAUUCCUUGGGGUACCUCUACAAGCCAAUGACUCCAAAGCAAAAGUAUCUCAUAUCACCAGGGUAGAAAGCAAGAGUAUCUCAUAUCAUGCGUUCUCCCUGUCAUUUCCUUUGUCCUUGUUCCUACCUACAAAGACAAGGAUAAAGAAAAUAAUAUGCCGGAACUUCCACUCAAGCUCGGGUAAGGAACCGACUGUUUGGAACCCUUCCCUGACUGCCUACCUAGCACUCCUCUCGAGUACUCGUCUCCCACUGCUGUUGUACUUCCAAAGAAGCUGCCACAUCUGCCUGAAGAACAGAUAAAGGCAAGUGAAAAUGAUACCUUGCAGCAUGUGGAGACAACGUGCAGAAGAAACAAGCAGAGAAGAAUGCGGUCUGCACAGUCAACUUAGCAGAAGGAGUCCGAACUGAGGAACUCGAGAAGCUGCCAUAUCUGCCUGAAGAAACAAGCAGAGAAGAAUGCAGCAUGCACAGUCAACUCAGCAGAAGGAGUCUGAGAUGAAGAACUCGAGAAGAUGCCGCAUCUGCCUGAGGAACAGUUAAAGGAAAUGAAAAUGAUACCUUGAAGCAUGUGGAGACAAGUGCAAAAGCACGUGCUGAGUCAUCCGCUACUUCUUCAAAAUCAAAAGUAUCUCAUAUCAUCAGGGUUGCAAUCACUCUGGACGGUGAACUCGUUUUGACCCUCAAAUUCUUGGGUCGACUUACUAGGCGUUGUGGGCUGCACGUGCCGAUUCACCACCCUUGAAUCAAAUCCUUAAAGAUCAAGUCACCAACUGGAAGAAGAGCCCAUCAAUCUUGAAGAUCAUACUGUUGACCAAACUGCUCAGGUGUGAAUUAGAAAGAUUGAACAAAGCAACAAGUCGUCACUUUCACCUCGUGCCUGCUUGCCAUGUGUUCGAGUCAACCUUCAAGAAUCAAGCCUCAACGGCCCUUGAAGAAGUUUCCGGCCAAAUUCAAGAUUAAGCCUCGACGGCCUUUGAAGAAAUCACAAGUCCGAUUCAAGAUCAAAUGUCUACCACCCUUGAAUCAAAACCUAGUUCAAGAAUAAGCUGUGGAAAAUCAACAAUUGGAGGAAUCCAGAAAAUCCUCCAACCCGGUUCAAGAUCAAAGCUGUGGAAAGUCAACAAGCGCAACAAAAUACGUGCCGAUUCAUCCACUACCAAAGCCAAAGAUCAUCUACCACAUGAAGCUCCUUGUGGUCUAAUUUCAACCUUCAAGAUCAAGCCUCGACGGCCCUUGAAGAAAUCUCCAACCCAAUUCAAGAUCAAGCCCCAACGGCCCUUGGAUCGACAUCUACAAUAAGGGACUUCAAAACACAUCUCCUACACAUGACAAGCACAUGUAUACGACGCGCCUUGAAGUGGGGGCAUUUGUAGACAUCGAAAUUUCGGUAAAUAAAUGUUGACCGAUAAAUCAAAGUUUCAACGCUCAUGUAUUACAUAAAUUUUACACGUAGCGUGUGUCUAAACAAAAAUCGAAAUAAGUUGGAAAAGUCAUCAAACAGGACACGUGUCAACACCUGGCAGAAACAACUUAUUUCAUCUGGAAUAUUAUAUUCAAAACUAGGCCUUGGAAAAUUCUAUAAAUAGAAGGCUAAUUCAUUCAUUUAAGAAAGGAAUUGAUAUUACACCUUGAAGCUCUGAAGCUCUGAAACUCCGAAGCUCUCAAGUAUCCAGGUUCCCGAAGAAUCAAGAAAGCUCUCUUCGUUCUUCGUUCAUCCUAAGAUCAAGCCCCAACGGCCCUUUGGAUCAACAAUCAUCCACCAAUUCAAGAUCAAGCCCCGACGGCCCUUGAAGAAAGUGUUCUUCGUUCUUCGUUCAUCGCUCUUUCAAGAUCAAGCCCCGACGGCCCUUGAAGAAAGCACCAUCGUUCAUCAUCCGUUCAUCCAAGAUCAAGCCCUAACGGCCCUUUGGAUCAACAACGUCGACAAAUCCACACACAUCCAACCGUUCUUCAAGAUUAAGCCCAAAAGCCCUUGAAGAUCUGUUCAUCACUGUUUCUUCAAGAUCAAGCCCAAAAGCCCUUGAAGAUCUGUUCAUCACCAUUACUCAAGAUCAAACCCCAACGGCUCCUUGAAGAUUCGCUCAAAUCCACCUUCAAAGAUCAAGCCCACGGCCCUUUGAAGGAACUUCCAACAGUUCAUCCAAGAUCAAGCCCCGACGGCCCUUGGAUCAAUCGCACAUCCACCAAUCAACACCUUACGGAGAUCGAAUCAGAUGAUCAAAUUUAAGAGAGAUUGUAACCCAAAAUCAUCAAAUACAAAUAUUUGUUUAUGCGCGUUGUUCUUGUCUCAUUCGUUUCAGGAAUUUUCCGUGUUCACACCAACAUCACAUAAAACUUAUACAUAUUGAUGACUAUAUUGUGAAUACAGAUUUCUGUGGUAUUUCUUCACUUCAGAUUGGUCUGAAAACACAAAAAUAAUUAAAUCGCUACCAUUGUUUUCUACACAAAAACCCCAACCACCCAAAAACCUUAUGUGCGUCUGUUCUUCUUUUGUGUCUCCUUUGGUUUUUACCUAUUUUUUCAUUUUUUAACAGCAUUUUCUCCUUCAUCAUUAGCUCUGCCAUACAACCUUUAAACCUAUUAAAACCUAUACAUUUUCAAUAUUUUCCUUCAUUUGUUAACAUUCAUUUGGUUUUUUGUUUCAAUACCAACUUGCUUAAACUUUUAUUACUUUCCUUCUCCUUUGUCAGCUGCUUAAACCCUUUUAAAACACUAUAUCCACUUAUUAAUUUCCGUUACCCAUUUGGAUUAAAAAAUUCUUUUCCUUUGCAAUUCUUUUUCUUCAUUUUUCUUACACUUAGUAACUCAGGUUUCCAUUGAUUAGAUCCCGCUUCUUCUCAUCUGUUCCAAAACUGACUCUUCAAUAUGCAACCAAAAUUUUAAGUCAAUUUCUCCUACGGAUUAGUUUCUUUUUCAGCGCUGCAAUUUUUUUACAUUUUGUAAUUCAUUGAGUUCACAAUUCCUUUAAACUUUGUACAUGUUGAGACCAACUUCUGUCUUUUCCUUUUCAUUCUCCACUUCACAAGUUACAAUCUUCUCAACAUAAUGUUUUUAGUGAAUUCCAAACAUUGGUCUUCAUGGUUCUCAUCAUUACAUUGUAAAAAGUUACUUCACAUCGAAAAUAUUUGUCAACCAUUUGACAACCGCCUGGAAAAAAAUUGGUACUUUUAUAACCGCAUGUGUUUUUCCAAAAAUUAUAAACAUUGAUCCUUCAAAACUUUGAUCAACUUUUUAGAUUCAGCAAUUCGAAUGUUGCCGUUUGGUUUCAUGUAGCUAAUGUUCCUUUGCUAAAUUCAAACCCAGAUUCCACAUUGCACAAUACAUCCCCAUUUUCACACACAUCCUAUAUCAAUUUCCUAUUCAUCGUUACCAUUCGAUAAAAACCCUGUUCUCAAGUUCUUUUUCAAAAUUGAUUUUUUUAACCUUAUAUUAAUAUGUUAUACCCAUGAUAAACCUAUUUCUAUCUAUCAUUUCAUCAUUAGUGAUCAAUAUGCGUUUAUGCCUAUUAGUUUUUUCCAAUCCCACUGUUACAACUUUAAACCAUUCACAAUAAAAUUAAAUUCAACGAUAUUCAUUCUUAUUUGUUGGACAUAACAUUAUGCAAAAAUGGCAUACAACAACACACCACCGCAGCAACACGCAAGCACACUAACUAGUUAUAACUAAGAAUAGGGUAAAAUAUAUAGUAUAAUAUCGACUUAUCAACCAAGUUUAAUGAUAAGGUGGGUACAUUUAUUUUAGAGAAUGCUCCAAAAAAUGCCAAAUAUUCCUCGCCCAUGGUCCAAAAGGAAGUUUUGAACAUUCUCGCCAACAUAUAGUAAGAAGAAAAAUUCGUGAAGAAGUUGGGGACGGUGUUUUUUGUAUUCUUAUUGAUGAAGCACAUGAUACUGCUCACAAAGAGCAAAUGACUAUUAUUUUAAGAUUUGUUGCUAGUGAUGGUUUUCUAUGAGAAUGUUUUUUAAACAUUGUGUGGGUUGAAGACGAUAAGAAAGCCCUUGCUUUCCAUGAGAUGCCUAUAAAAAGUUACGAGGUCAAGGCUGUGAUGGUGGAAGAUGCAAGGUCAGUGGAAUGGGCUACAAUCAUUAUUUGUUAAAGAUUGUUCAUUCGCUUAUUAUGUGCAUUGUUUUGUCCAUCAACUGCAAUUAACAUUAGUUGCAGCAUCAAAAGAAGUGAAUGUUAUCUGGUUAUUCUUUUUAGCAUUAGGCUCAAUUGUAAAUGUUAUUACUACUUUUUCAAAACAUCAUAAUCAGUUGCAAGUAGCACACACAAUGAACAUUGUAGAGUUAAUAGCUAGUGAACACACAGGAAGAUGAGCUAAUCAAAUUGGUACUAUACAUUGACUUGGAGCUACUCGUUGGAGUUCUCAUUAUGAUUUAGUAUGUGACUUGAUACAUAUGUACGAUGUGUCUUGUACAGUACUUGAGAACAUAAAGAAUGACAGAUUUACUACAAACUCUUUACGUGGGGAAGCUAUCGAUACUUACAAUGCAAUCAAUUUUUUUAAAUUUAUUUUUAUCUUUAGUCUAUUGCAGGUUCCUUUGUCGUGAACUACAAAAUAAGUCACAAAACAUUGUGAAUGCUAUGAAUCUAGUUACUACUACAAACGAUUUUCUUUUGGAAGUUGCGAUUAGAUGCUUGGCUACCAUUAUUGAUAAAGUGAAUUCAUUAUGUAAGAAAACAUGAGGUUGAUAUGCUUGAUAUUAAUGCUCAAUACAAAAUAGGAACUGGUCGUUCUUGUUAGCAAACAGAUCAUAUUACAUAUGAGCGUCAUUAUUGCAUUGAUAUCUUCAAUAAUAUAGUAGAUUUUCAGUUGAUGGAGCUAAAUAGUAGGUUUAAUGAGGAGGCAAUGGAACUUCUUAUUUCAGUUCAGCUUCAGAACCAAGAGAUGCUUCGAAGGCAUUUAACAUUGAUACAUUUGCAAGCUUGUACAGAAAUUUUAUCCCCAAGAUUUUUCUCAUAAAGAGCUACCAUAUGUUGAGGUGUGAGUUGAAAAUCUAUGUAUCAGACGUACCACAUCAUCUUGUGUUUCAAAAAGUGUCUACGACUUCUUAAUUAUGUCGGAGAUUAGUUGAAACAAAGAGGUCUGAAGGUACCAUUUGAUUGAUAGGUUAAUUCACCUUGUAUUGAUUUUUCCCGUUUCUAUAGUAACUAUUGAGCAAGUUUUUUCAGCCAUGAAUCUUAUUAAAACAAGACUUCGCAACAAGAUGGAGAGUGAAUUUCUAACAGAUUCAAUGGUUGUCUACAUUGAAAAAGAGCUUGCCGAAAAUGUUGAUUCAAAUGAUAUAAUAUAACAAAAGAUUUUAAUUCCAUUAAGGAUCAAAGGGCACAACUUGAAUAGGUAUUUUAUUUAUUUAUUUAUUAAGUUGUUAUGAACAAGAUUGAUGAUAUAUGUUUUCAUUCUAUUGCAAUUGCAACUUUAAAUAUUUUCUUCGUUAAGUCUAGUUGAAACUUGAUUUAUGUAGAGUUUAAAUUUCUUACUUCAAAUUAUUACUUUUAGGUUUACUAUUAUAUAACUUUAGGUAGGCAACAAAAAAAUUGGAGCAUUUGAUUUCUAGUAAUAAUUUUAGCUUAGCCCACCCAUCAAAUAAUUCAUGACUCUGCCAUUGCAUGUCUAACAAUCACUAAUAAAUUUUUCACUAUUGUCGAUUCGUUAAAUGGGAAAAACAAACAGGAAAAAGAUGAAAAUGAAUGAUGCUCAACGGCUCAUUGUUUGGGAUUAAGAUAAGUAUGCCCAACUCCGAGCAUAUCAUCUGCAUAUUUUGCAAAGAGUAUAUUCCUCCUUCCGUAAAGCCUUUUGUUAAUGAAAUAUGAUAGUUCAUACCUUCAAAGGCCAAUGCAAUAGUUAUGACCUUCCCAUGCAUGCAAAGUAACCAAGUAGGUUCCAACAAUAAUAAAGUCGACACAGUCAGAAAUGUAUACAAUAAUUUCCAUGGUGAAGUAGAGGAUCGACAAGCGGCUACAUUAUAAGAGGUUUUAAGUUUGAAUAUCUCUUGCUGAUUGAAACACAUUUCUCGCUCAAUGUACAUGCUAAGUGAAAUACGAUAUUACUUAUAUAUAUAUAUAUAUAUAUAUAUAUAUAUAUAUAUAUAUAUAUAUAUAUAUAUAUAUAUAUAUAUAUAGUAUAUGUAUCUAUAUCAUAUAUAUCACGAAAGCUCUCUCCAACCACAACCAAGGAAAACUAAUGAAAAUGACUUGAAAACUUUAAGUUUUAAUGAUAAGGACAAAAUAAAGAGUAAAGUGAAUAGUACCAGGAUUGACUUUUUAGUGUAAAAAUGUCGUUUUUCGUUAAAGUGAACAGUACCGGAUGCUUUUCGUUAAAAUUCCCUUUAAAAUAAAGUUAAUAUAAUAUAAGAGUAAAUCUCUACCAUAUAUAUCAUGAAGGCUCUCUCGACCAUUUAAAAUAAAGUUAAUAUAAUAUAAGAGUAAAGUUUGUUUGCUAAAAGUUUAGGGAAAUAUUGACUACUCUUACUGUUAGCGCUAGAACAUACCCAUAAACUCAAGUUGGAAAAAUCAUGAUUAAUUUAACAAUACUUCUUAAAAAACCAAAAAUUGAAUACACACACUCUUUCUUGCUUUCAUUUUUCUUCUACUUUUUGUCAACUUCUUAAGCAAUAAUUGCAUGAGAUGCACAAAACACUAAUGUUCAAACACAUGUUUAAGUACUUUCUAAACGAGAAAGUUUAUCAUUUUACGCUAAAGAUGAAGAUUCAACCGUUAAAGAGCAAAAUGUAUACAACAUAACAUAUGGUUAAACACUGUUCUAAAAAUCUCCGCCUAGCACCAUCCAAUGGCGAAGCCAGGAUUUCGGUUAGGAGGGGCCUCUCACAAUAUUAAAAAAAUAUUAAAUCAAUAGUAGUUACAAAACUGGUAACCAAAACAUCAUAGUAUAUAUAUGAAAAGUACCAAAAUUCAAAAUAACAUAGCAUUGAUAAUAUUACAUAUUCCCAAUAAUUAAAAUAAUUGUCCUCAACGAGUUUUCAUAUUUUGAAACCGUUGCAUAGUAUGUAAAUAUAUAUAUAUAUAUAUAUAUAUGCUAAUUUUACAAACUAAAACAAAUUAGGCAAUAGUUAAGAGAAAUGGCAAGACAUCAAUUUAAUCAUAAUUUAUAAACAAAAAAUUGUAAGAGGAGCUGAGAGUAAAAUACAUACUUUGGGUUGUUGACCAAUUACCUAAACUUCAAUGUCUUUUCUUUGAUGGAAUGAUGGAAUAAUGGAAUUCUUUAAUCUGCAAAAUAAAAAUAUUAUUUGUUAAAUUAAUUUACAAUUGUAGAUGACAACAUAUAUGAAUUAGCAAAUUGCAAAAAAAAAAAAAAAAAAAAAAAAAAAUUGAAAAUGACAACUUUGGAGAUUCGAAGUUCAUGCCUUUGAGGAUCAUGGAAAUUGAAGACUGAUCGAAAACCAAUACAUAGAUAUCAACCCUAACCCAGAUUGGCAGACUGCAGUCGGCUAGAAACUUAGAGAAUAAUAAAAUGCUAAUUUUUAGUAUUGGGAAAAGGAAUAGAAGUGUUGGAAGUUGGAAUAGGUAGGCUUUAGGGUUAGACUAGAUUACAUAAAUAUCCUUAAAUUAUUUAAAGAAGGCCAGAUCUUUUGUCUAGGAAAUUGGAAUGGUUUAAGUGAAAAAGUUAUGGAAAAGUGAUAAAAAUAAUAAAUAAAUAAAUAAAGUAGUACUAAUUUUUUUUAUAAACAAAAGCAGGGUGGGCCUAGGACUACUGUGGUCCUAUGGUCCCUCCGCCCUUGGCACCACCUAGGUCCCGUCUAGACGCUAAGCGGCUGACCAUUGUCUCGAUUAAUGUAUAAACAUUUGAAAAUUAAGAAAGGGCAGCUAGACCUACUGAGGCGCCUGCCUAAACUGUCUAGGCACCUGCCUAGCCCGCCCAGACACCUAUCUAGGUUGCGACUCACUUAUAUAGAAAAUAAAUAACUUUCUUUUUACAUUUUAUUGUUUACAAUAAAUUGUAAGAGACUAAUUGAACAUUUAAAUAAACACAUAUUAUAUGUUUGCUCCCCAUGUUUUCAUUAUAUUCAUAUACUUCAUAAUAUAUAUGUCAUUCUAUUUUCUAGUUUAUGAUGAAAUUAUAUAUAUUUUGAGUAUAAACAGACACUUAUUUACACAAAAUACAAUAAAUUUACUUAAAUCCGCAUAGUCCACCUAGUCUGCCUAGGUGCUAGGCCCCAGCUUGCCGCCCGACUAGUGUCUAGCGUCUUUUAGAACUUUGUGGUUAAAGUCUCAUGGAUUCAACGGUUAAAGUGAAGAAAUGCAAAAAGCAUACAAGCAAUUUAUAUUUUUUUUUUCCCUAAAAUUAAAAUAUUGUAUUUUUUUCAAUUAAAGUAAGGCAACUGACAUUUAAAUAUGAAUCCAAAUUUUCCAAACAUUUAAAUAUGAAUCUAUUUAAUCAAUGGUCAUUGGUCAUCAUGAAUAGCUUUCUAUCCAUUGGACAUUUAAAAUCGUAUUAAGUUGUUCCAAACAUAUAAUACUAGUUUUCCGUGACAAACCCAAACCCAAAAAAAAUUAUAUUCUAAAUUUUUUUAAACAAACGAUGUUAUUUAUACUAAGGAAUUAGGGGAGUAGGCUCAACCUCAUAAUGAGCUGACAAUAAUAUGGUUCAAAUUCGUCUUUAGCGAGAAUCCAAUCUAAGACCUCUCGCUUACAAGUGAAAAGGAAUAUCACCAAAUCGUAGUGCUAAGUAGCAAAUCAUAUUCUAAAAUUUGAUAGGAGUAUUGAUGUCGUGCAUUUUAUUUGUAAAUUUAUGUUCCGUAAUGGUAAUUAGGUCGUGUAUAAUUAAAAUCUUAGAUGGUUCUAGGUCGCAUAUUUUUAUGAGGGUAUUGCUCUAGUUUUUAAGAAGAUAUGGAUAGUUCUUGAUUGUCUAAAAUCUUAGAUUGAAACUUUAGAAUAGUUUGAUUGAAGACAAAAUGUUAAAUUUCAGUAAAAAGAAGUUUAAUAACAAAAAUUAUUAAAUAAUUCCUAAAUCAUGCAAAGAGUAAUACCAACUAGGGAUUUUUAAUUUUUUUUCCCCUCAAAUUUGAAUUGCGUGAAAUUUGAUCUGAUUAUUUGUUUCUUCGAGAUAAAAUGUUUUAUUUUUAGAUAUUGGUAAGUUUUAAACUAAAAAGGUAUUUUUUUUUUAUAAAAUGGUGGGGUACUUAAAAAUAAAAUAAAAAGUGAAUAAGUUUACAUUGACAAAAUAUGUACAUUUUGCAUAAAAAUUGGUACAUUUUACAUACAUAUAUAUAUAUAUAUAUAUAUAUAUAUAUAUAUACAACAAAGUUUUCAUUUUCUUUAUAAAAAUAGGUACAUUAUAAAUAAAUUAUGCAUACAAAUAAAAGAUUAAAAAAAUUACAGGUAAAAAUAAAAGUUUAAAAAUGUGGGCAUACAAAAAUUUAAAUAAAUAAGUACAAAUUAAAAAAAAUAGUACGUAUUAGAAAAAUGCUUAUAAAUUAAAAAAGAAUGGGUAUAAAUUAAAAAUAGAAAGUAUGAUAAAAAAAUCAGUAAAAAAUAUAAAUAGAUCAUUUGUAACGUUUCUAACUGGAUCUAUUUAAAAAUAAUUAAAUAAUGACACACCCCGUCCCAAAGGAGGGCAUGCUGGCUGUCACAUGAGAGUGACGUAACCAUUUACACAGUUCAGAAGCUUUAAAGAUACCAUUACUAAGAUAUAACACCCGAAGGUGAAUCCUACUUUUGUGAAUUCUGUCAAAACACCGUUGGAUUCCUCGUGGCCACCCAAAGCUCUGCUAUCUUGAACCUGGAAGGGCGCAAAACAAAGUUGAGUGGGUUAGUAAAACAAAGUUUUUCGAAAACAUUUCAUUUAAAACAUUUCUAACCCCUUGCUGUAAAACUUGUAUACUUUCCCAGAAAAUAGUAUAUAAAUAACCAUAUAUAAUCUCAAAACUCAAAUCACAAGUCUUUAACACUUUUUGAGAAAAUAUGCCAUGCUAUGCAUCAAAACAUAAUAAAGAUGCAUCAAUAUAACAGGUGAAAUAAGGAAUCAACCGGAGACCCUACAAUUGGUCAUGUACGGUUAAUUCUAUAGCUCAAUAUCCAAACCAACCGGAGUCACCACGGUGACCUGUACGGCGCUACUCUGCACAUAAAUCGGAACUACCUGAAGUAGUCUGUACGAUAAGAAUGGUGUAAUAAUACGCUCUAGUGGUUCUCUCAUCAACAGCUGUAUAAUAAUCUAAAAUCACCUACAGUCGGAACCACUCUAUGGUCUGUACGACAUGUCGGAACCCUCUCAUGGUCUGUACGACAUGCACCUACUUGGAUCCAAGGUGAGCGUGCGGUGCGGGGUGAAUAAUAUAAGCACUAACACCAGAGGUGCAGGUUAUGAGCUCUCAACACAAUUCACAUUAUCAAUGAUUCACAUGAAUAACAUAAAACUCACCUGAUACUCACCUGUGCGUCCACAACACCAAUUCACACACACACACACACACACACACACACACACACACACACACACACACACACACACACACACACACACACACAUAUAUAUGCAUCAAUUAUCAAUUCAUAUAUUUCAUAAUAUGCAUGCAUGACAUUUUAAAACAUACUUUCAUUUAAAUUCAAUUUCUGGGAAAAUCGAUAGUAUAUAGGUAAAUACAGAAAAUACUGCCCACUCACCUGGAGUUCGCCCUACAACUCCCUAACACAACACAUCAAGGCGUCAUAACGAUCGGCGCCUAGAACAAUCAUCAAAUCAAACCUCAGAAUCAUAUCGAUAGAAUAUAUAACUUAUAUAAAACACGUCACUACGUUGUUCGAUCCGGAAGAUCUGCAACUCAGAUUUCCAAUCCAUAACUUCCAGAGGUCCACAAUAUAUCUCUAGAACAACAUCCUAAAAUUUCCUUACCAUCCAACGGUCGGAUCUCCGUCAAUUGUCAAAACCGAAUGAUAGUUAACAUUCUAUUUUAUGUACUUACAACUCCAAUUCCAGAAGAUCCGUAAAUCGGAUUCCCAAUCCAUAAGUUUCUAUAAUCCUCAAAUAUUACGUAUUACAACGUAUCAAAGUUUAGUGACGAUCUGACGGUUGGAUCGUCGAUUCACGUUACUUUCGGUUGGCCUAACCAUGAAUCGAAACGAACUUAGGUUCAAUUACUCAAUUUACGUCAAUCAAUUAUCAAAACUGAACCUAGAAUCUUAAACACAUGCUAAGAAUGACAUUGGCGGGCCACUGGCCACGCGCCGCUGCACGGGCCGCCACAGGUGGCGGUUGGUCACCCCGGCUUGCCGGAAAAUCCAACUAUUUCCAAAAAUUCUCAAAUAUUACAGAAAUGAAGAUCUCAAAGAGUAGAGCAAACUUUAUACCUCUGGCCAAGGCCAAUUUGUCCUAGAAAUUCUCCAAUUCCACCAAAACCGUGAAGAACCCUAGAAUUGGGUGUUUUCAAUUCGACCUUCAAAUCAACUCCGCCGUCCCAACCAAAGCUUGGGCUUUGUGCCAGGUCCUAAGGGAAUGCUAAUGGUGUUAGUAAUUGAAAGAAAACAUUUCAAGAUUUGAAGAAUUUGAACACGAAAGUCGCGGCACCAACGAGUGCGUUUUAAUCACCAACCCACCAUCAAAUUUCACUGAUUUUUUUGGGUGAAACAUGAAAGGGGAAGGCCUAGGUGUUGAUUGGGAAGUGCAUAGGGGCCUAGUGCCUAUUGAGUUCCUUGAUGGUCCAAUUCGUCGAAAAAUUGAACAAAAACGGCGAGAAACCGCCGGUUUGAAGGCAUGGGUCGCACGGGUCAAGGAUGACCCGUUUCCUCCUUUUCCCCCGUUCAUCACUCUCCCUCCUUUCCCUCCUUUCUUCUCCCUCUGAUUGGUCCUCUCACACUUUCUCUUCUUUUCUGGUUGGCCCCCAACUCGUCCCUCUCUCCUGUUCCGAUUGGGGCAGCUUUGCCCUUCUCUCCUCUUUUUUUUUUUUUUUUUUUUUUUUUUUUUUUUUUUUCUUUUCUUUUCCCCGAUGCCUUCCUCUUUCUUUCUUUUCUUCUUCUUUUUCUUCACAUACACACACACACACAAACCUUUCAACAUCUUUUUAUUUUUAUUUUCCUUCCCUUACAUCCAAGCCAUCCAUUUCAGAUUUCCUUUAAUCUGGGCCAUCCAAAUUUUAAUAAAAAUUCAUAAAUUGCCCAAACUUCAAACUUUAAAAUCUUUUUUCGUUUAUAACUCCAAAUAACGAACUGUCUGCGCCCACGCUUCUGUAGUGACGAGUACUACGAUGAUAUGUCAAGAAAACAAAUCUUAGUUGGCACGACACAAUGAUUAACCUCGAAUAAUGUGCGUGCCUCAAAGGGCAUUUUCGUAAAAUUCUUUAUUAAAACUUUAAAAACUCUUAAAAUCGGGGACGGGCUGUCACAAUUAAGUUUUAGUUAUAAAAUUUAAAUAUGCUGACAUGUAAAUAUUUUUUUAUUAAAAUAAUAAUGUGAAUAAAAACUAAAUGAUCUUGAUAAAAAAUUAAAAAAAUUAGACCAUCUCCAAAGAAAAUUCAAAUUUUGAAUAUAAAAUUUAAAUUUUGACAACUUAUUGGCACUUUGAUAUUUUUAAAGUUUUGUUCUCCAACCAAUAGUCAAAUUAAAUUAUUAUUUUAUUAUUUUAUAAAAUAAAUUAUUAAACUAAUUAAAAUUUAAUAAAGAAUAUUUAAAGUUUAAUCAGUAAUCUGUUCACCUUUCUUGAUUGAAAAGAAGAAAAAAGUAGGAUAAUUGCAUCGGUCAACUCAAUAUUAAUUAUAAUAAAUAAUUAAACUAAUUAAAAAUUAAUAAAAUAAAGAAAUUAUAGUCCAUAAAGGCAGUCAGUCAUCAGUCGUAUCUCUCUCUCGUGUGUCGCCUACAAAUUGAAUAUUCCCUCGCAAUAUCCACCCUUCCUCCGCCCUUUCCUCCCUCAUUUUACUCUCACUGUAACACGAACAUCAUCCCAACAACCCCACUUUCGCACGCGCCGCGUGGAGUAUCUGAUCCGUUCGUAAAUUAAUCUCUGCAGUAGGAUCCACCUCACACGACGCGCCAUUCGCGUAUCUAUAUAUAGUCGCAUACAGACGCUCAUUCUAUUUGUACAAAGAGAAACAGCUUGGUGUAAGACAGGGACAAGCGAACCAAUUGUUCCUCACUCCAAUCUAUCUAUAUCUAUCCAUCCCUCUUCCGGAUACGGAUUUGGAUUUUCGUUUCUGGACGAAGGUUGAGAAUUUGAAGCGCGGGAAUUGAUUCCUGAAUUGGGGUUCUUUCGGAUUUUGAUUUGGUGCGGAAAUGAGGCUGAACGGCGAGGUUCUUUCGUGCAACGGCGGGAGAGCAGCAGAGGAGGAGAGUGGAGAAAACGAGAGAGAAUUGCAUUCGAUCGUCAGCGUUGGGAUUUCUCAGCCGCCGAAGCUCGUCGUCGGGUACGCCUUGACCUCCAAAAAGAAGAAGAGCUUCUUGCAGCCCAAAUUCGUUGGGUUGGCUCGGUAUGUUGUAUAAUACCCACAAAUCUUUUCACCAUUUGCACACACACACACACACAUUCUUAUUAUGUACACACACACACACACACACACACACAUAUAUAUAUAUAUAUAAUAUGCAUGUAUAUAUUUGUAUGUAUGUGAAAUUUUGAAAUUUUGAAGCUUUGUGAGUUUUUAUUUUGUAGUUUCCUUAUAUGGGUAUCUCUUGUUUUCUAGUUUCAGUUUGUAUAUCUUGACUUUAUGAGCAUAAAAGAAGAAACAAAGGAAAAAGAAAGUGCCAUUUUUUUGUUGUUGCAGGGGGAUAUGGAUGUUUUUGUCUAUAUUGUUUUAAGCUUUGGCAAUAUUGAUCAAGGGCAAAGUGUGUUUUGCUUGGCUUUUCCAUCCAAUCUUCUUCUGUAGUGGGUAUCUGGAAUCUUGCUGUUUGGUGUCUUUCACUGAGACAAAUUUUAAAUAGGGGAAUAUUCCAUCACAUAUACCCUUUUGGGGUUGAGAGGAACCCGAAGUCAAUUCUUGGUGCUUGCUUCUGUUUUCCAAAAUUCAUAAAAACAGCAACGAUUUUCCCACUUCUGUCCUACUUUGAGUACUUAUUUACAAUCUUGUCCUUCAUCCUCUAUGUAAUUGCAUAGAUGAAUUUGGACUAAGUGGGGUGGACUAUUUACCCCUUCUUUUAGGUGCCUUUACAUUAGUGGUUGAAUGAUUUGAAUGAAGCUUUAGCUAAACCUGCAAUUUGUAUGAUUGAUGGCAUUAGGUUAAGAUGACAUGAGGUUAUUUCUUUCGAAUAUGAUCGAUGUAAAUAAAAAAUAAAACAGUUACAGGGGUACAAUAUAUAUUUGGAAAAUACUGUAAUUACUAUCAAUAAAAGUAGGGUUUUUUUAUUUUUAUUUACUACUUACCUGUUUGUGUGUCAGAUGAGAUGGACAUUAAACAGGUUUGUCAUUGCAGAUUGUUAAUUGUGCUCGAAAGCCAGACUCUUGACGAGUCGGCAGCCAUAAUUGUAUUUUUUCAAACCUUGUAUAAAGUAUAGGAUUGCAAAAAAAAAAGUAUUACCUACAUUCUUCGGGUACGUAUUAAAUUAUUUUGAAGAGUUUGAGUUUUUACUCAUAAUUGUGGCAUCAUAGUUGAAUGAAUUUUCUUGAUGCCUCCUGCCCUUUCACAUCUUUUAAAUGGCUCUUCCGUUUGUUGGGUUUAGUUAUUUUGUCAUUAUUAUAAUGUUUACACCGCUAAACCCAAGCUUUAAAACUGGAGCAACUGUUUGGACACUCGAUUUAGUAAAACGUUUCUGGGGUGCAGGAAUAAGGGGAUUUUCUUCAUUGCAAUUGAUGUAAACAAGCCACUUUCAGAUCAAGGACCCUUUGAUGUUGUUUUGCAUAAGGUAAGUGCUCAUAUGUUCUUUUAGACCCUUUUGUUCUCACUUGUGACAGUUUUUCCUAUUUUAAAAGCUUUUGUUUCUAAUUAAAGGCUGCCUCGGGUUGUAUGAUUUGAAUCACUGAUCAUGCCAUUCAAUAUCCCCUCCCCUUUUGUUUUACUAAUUAGUUUGUUCAUUGUAGAUUGACAAGUAUAUCGCAUAUACCAUAUUAAAUACAUAUAUAUAUAUAUAUAUAUAUAUAUAUAUAUAUAUAUAUAUAUAUAUAUAUCUGACAAAACUUUGUUCCUUCCAGUUGUCGGGAAAAGAGUGGUCCGAGGUUAUUGAGGUUUGUCCAUACAAACUUCAAGAUGCUUUCUUGACUUUCUUCCCCUUUUCUUGUAUUGGAAAUGAAUUUGUGGUGCUGCAUUUUUUGCUGUAAGUACUUAUGCAUGAUAUAAAGGGUUGCUUUGUGUUAUGCUGGAGUAUUAAGUCUGUGAGAUGGUUUAAAAAGAUGUUAUGAAUCCAGUGAGUUGGAGACUAGAAGCUCCAUUGUCAAUUAAAAUGCAGGUUUUGAAUAGAAUUUGUAGAUCCUCGGGACCAAGUACAACAUACCAAUACCUUAGUUUUCUUUUGGUCUAUCCUUGAUUUAUGAAAAGUCAAUCUCAUCUUCCCCAUUGAUUAAACCCCCUGGGCAAAGUCCUGGGAAUUUAAUCGUCUGUCACUUAUGUUUACUCAACAUGGUUUCAUGGUUUGGUAACUGAAGUGCAGUUUAUUUAUUGAGUAUUGUUGUGUCCUUACUUUCCCCAUCUGUCCUUCUGUAGGAUUACAGACAAAAACAUCCAGAAGUAACAGUUCUUGAUCCCCCAAAUUCAGUAAAAAAUCUAUACAACCGCCAGUCCAUGCUUCAGGAAGUGGCUGAUCUGAACUUGUCUGACUGCCAUGGUAUUUUUUCCUCCUUUACUCUUUAUGAAAACUGUGGAUAGUAUACAGGAAAAGUUGUGGUUAGAGUUUCUAACCAGUUUUCGUUUUGGUUUCUAUAGGCAAGGUUGGUGUUCCAAAGCAGUUGAUUGUCACUAAAGAUCCAUCAUCUAUUCCGAAUGAAGUUGAUAAAGCUGGGCUAAAAUUGCCGCUGGGUACAGUUACUUUAUCUUUCUUUUUGUGUGUGUUUUCAGGAGCACUGGUUUUUCUUUUAGUGUUAGGACACUGUUUCCUCCUCUGAAUGAAACGGAUUAUGACAUCUACAUACCCACGUGAUUGGUGGCACAAGGAUUCUUGAUAUGGCCUGGAGAUCCUCUGGAUUUCCAUGGCUAAGGUUAUCUUGGUAGAAUGUUAUGUAUAGCCAUACUGAUUGGCCGGAAGCAGGCUUCUUUGAACAAUUUGGUAGGGGAGCUUUGUUGUCAGCUAUUGUAGACUGAUGAAUCGUGACUUCUAUACUUCAACUAUUGACCUCUGUUUAUUUUGUAUUUAGUUGUCAAACCGCUGCUUGUGGAUGGUAGUGCGAAGUCACAUGAACUAUUUCUUGCUUACGACCAAUGCUCCCUCUCAGAACUCGAACCUCCCUUAGUCUUGCAGGAGUUUGUAAAUCAUGGUAUAAUGUGGUAACUGGUACUUGAUACUAUUUCUUUGUUCAACCACGUUGUGGUUCUAAUUAUACUUUUUCUGCCUCCUGUUUGCCGCAUUGUAGGUGGUGUUCUCUUUAAAGUUUAUAUCGUCGGGGAAGCCAUAAAGGUGGUAAGGCGUUUCUCUCUUCCCAAUAUCACUAAACGUGAACUAGAAAAGCUUGCUGGUGUGUUCCGUUUCCCAAGGGUUUCAUGUAGCUUCAGCAGAUGAUGCAGACCUGGACCCUGGUGUUGCUGGUAACAUCCGUUAACAAUGUUUAAUAUACUGGUUGUUAUGAAUAAAGCUUUGUCCCUACUUUCUUCAAACUUUUAUGACUUUUCGUGCUGUUUGUAAAUGCUGUUUCAAUGACAGCUUACUAAAACUACCUUAUUGUUCCUUGGACCCCUGAUUUAAAAUGGCAUUAUUGCUGCAGAACUUCCUCAACGACCUUUGUUAGAGAACCUUGCGAGGGAGCUCCGCCAACGACUGGUAUCUCUCUCUCUCUCUCUCUCUCUCUCUCUCUCUCUCUCUCUCUCUCUCAAGUUUGGCUAAUACUAUGCUAUUGCUCUAGGGCCUUAGGCUAUUCAAUGUCGAUAUGAUCCGAGAGCAUGGGACAAAGGAUGUUUUUUAUGUCAUUGACAUCAACUACUUUCCAGGUAAGUACAGUUUGUUCACUUAAUCUACUCUAUGUUGACAACUGCAAAGUUUCCGUGGUGUGUAUUGAAAUGUUUUGAACGAAUUACAGGUUACGGCAAAAUGCCAGACUACGAGCACAUGUUUACAGAUUUCCUACUAGGCCUUGUGCAAAGCAAGCAUAAGAGAAUACCCGCUACGUAACCACUGCAAGUACCCACUGUAUAUGAUGUUUCUUGCAGGCAGAUGCACGCCUCCUCGGAGUCGGGCAUUUCUCGUAAAGGGUCCGACCUGUUGAGUGGUGACACCGCCGCCUCUGACGGAACUGUGUUAUAAAGCAAAUUCAAUAACAGACGACUAAGAGAAGCUACGUCGUCAUCUCUUUCCCACUCCCACUUCUCUGUCUCUAGGUUAAGUUUUUGGCUCAAUCUUUACAUGAAUUUUGAUAGAAACUGCUCCCGAGUAUAUUUUGCUUGUACUUUUUUUGUAUGUUAGUCGGAAUAUCUCAGAUCAUCUAAAAGUUGUUCAAACCGGACACCACCUGAGAGAGUGCCAUUAUCCUGGACUCUAGAGUCUAAGAAAAUCAUGGUCACCCACCGUUUUAUUUUAACCAACAGUGGAGGCGAAAGUAUUACGUACACAAACUACAUAGGAAGAGAUUUAUUUCGCGUAUAGCUUCCACCUACUUUAUACAAUACCAUUGGUUGGCAUGGCACAUAUUCUACAAGAAUACAAAGCAUACUCCUUACAACGCUGUGGCCCACAAAUACGUACAAACAAUAUAUACAUAUACACAUUAUGUACAGUCCGCCGCUGCUUACCAAAACGGACACCACCUGAAAGAAGCACAAUAAGCACAACAGCCGUUGUUAGACAAACGCACAUUCUAACUCGGUAUACAGAACAGAUAAAAAAACUCAGCAUGACUUGUUCCCGCUCCAUAAUAAUAUAGCCAUUCACCCGACAAUUACUUGGCGAGGUGAACAAUAUAAGAAUGUCGGUAUUAAGUGGCUCUGAUCCCACCAAACUGGUGUGUGUCGGAUGAGAAUUUGGGCACUGAGAUCCCGAACAAAACCAAUCAUAGGUUGUCACGAAUCAAUAGACUUCAUAUGUCAAACCUCCACUCAUGUCGGGCAAGGACCGAAUGAGUACACAUGCACACGAGUUUAAUUAUUCUAAACUAGGUUUAAAGAAACUGGAGAUAGAAGAGGAAAAUUUUCAAACAUCUUACCCGACAUAAUUUUGGCAUAAAUUUUCACUAGAUGAUGCUUGGAUAAUCAACUUUUGAACUUGCUGCUUAACAGAUAAACCAUGGUCAACUUCUCUACUGUCUCCAGAAAUCAGCGUGCUGUGGUCAAUUGCAUGUUGAAUAGAGCUGGAAGAUACAGAGGAACUGGCAGAAAAAUCACGUCCAGUAAGUUUACUCUUCAUCCGAGCCAUGACAACCACAGCAAGCUCAUUCAAGACCUCAUUAGCAUCACCCAAUUGAUUGACAGCCUACAUGGAAAACCAAAUAAAUGAGCAUAACCAAGAACAUCAUUUUGAAGCAUCUUAGGAUGAAUUUCUGGAAUACCUCAAGAAGUUCCCUUUCACGAGCACCUCGUUGAGGUUGGCGAAGCUCUCUAUUUUGAGCGGGUUCUUCAGCACCCGCAACAGGAGUAACAUUACUAUUUCCAAGCAUUGACAUUUGGGGAACUUCAUUGAAGUUGAAGAGACGCCAAUUAAUGAGAGGAUCAUGGACAAAGGCCUGAACACAGGUAAACUUAAGAAUUAGCUUCCUUACUCAAGGAUUUAAAGGAGAAUGAAUUUAGUGUUGUUCAUUCAAUAGGGCACCAUCAACAGUAUCAACAAAACCACACCCACCCACAAGUCCACCCCAUUACUUUGAAAUUUUAGAUGACUAUUGCUUGCUGCGAAUAGAUGCUUUUCAAUGGCAUAAUACAAAGGCCUAGCUAUGUACUGAUAUCUUGACCAGGAUGUUAUCACCUAUGUUGCUGUAAAUAAUAGUUCAUACAACUCUUUGAUCAAUUCUCCUUGCAGGUUUAUUCAGAAAAUGCCCCAUUGUUAUCAUAGUCGGCUUGGUGCUGAGUGAAAUACUUCAGAAUGAAUGUAUCCUAAAUCCUAAUAAAAUAAUGGGUAAAAGACUGUUUACUACCCUCAUGUUUCGUGGUUUUCAACAUUUAGUACAUCAAGUUUUUUUCGUCUCAGAUUCAUACCUAAAGUGUAAAUUUUGAAACAAUCUCAUAUAUCCGUUAGUCAAACUGUUAAAUCUACCGUUAAUUGUGACGUGGCGCCCAUGUCGACAAUGACUAGGCACCACGUGUCAUCCACAUUUUUUUUUUCUUGAUCACCUACAAGAGUGGGUCGUCAAAAACACAAAUAGAUUUUCUUCUAAUGAGGAAAGGGGAUCGUAUAACUUGUAAGGAUUGCAAAGUUAUACCAGGAGAGAGCGUGGCUAAUCAACAUCGCUUGUUGGUGAUGGAUGUACAUAUCAAAAGAGUGAGAAAAAAGAACAAGACUUGGAAGUGCCCAAGGACUAGAUGGUGGAAUCUAAAAGAAGAAAAACAAGUCAUUUUCAAAGAGAAAGUAAUCACCCAGUGUGUGUGGGAUAGAGAGGGGGAAGCUAACCAAAUGUGGGAUUCCAUGGCUAGUUGUAUCCGAAAAGUAGCAAAAGAGGUAUUAGGAGAGUCCAAGGGCUUUGCCCCACACCAAAAGGAAUCUUGGUGGUGGAAUGAGAAGGUACAAACAAAGGUGAAGGCUAAGAAGGAAUGUUGUAAAGCCUUAUACAAGGAUAGGACCGAUGAAAAUGGUGAAAGGUAUAGAAAAACGAAGCAAGAGGCGAAGAAAGCUGUGAGUGAAGCUAAGUUAGCGGCUUAUGACGAUAUGUAUAAGCGACUAGAUACCAAAGAAGGAGAGUUGGAUAUCUAUAAACUAGCUAGAGCAAGGGAAAAGAAGACAAGGGACCUAAACCAAGUGAGGUGCAUCAAGGAUGAGGAUGGAAAGAUUCUUGCUACAAAGAACGCGGUUAAAGACAGAUGGAAAGGUUAUUUUCAUAAUCUUUUCAAUGAAGGACAUGAAAGGAGUGCUUCUUUAGGGGAGUUGAGUAACUCAAAAGAGUGUAGAAACUACUCUUUUUAUCGUAGAAUCCGGAAGGAUUGUAGCUUUGAAGAAGAUGAAGCAUAGAAAAGCAGUAGGCCCAGACGAUAUACCAAUCGAAGUGUGGAAAGUUUUGGGAGAGACAGGUAUAACAUGGCUCACUGACCUUUUCAAUAGGAUUUUGAAAACGAAGAAGAUGCCAAAUGAGUGGCGAAUGAGCACUUUGGUGCCUAUCUACAAGAAUAAGGGCGAUGUACAAAAUUGCAUGAACUAUAGGGGUAUUAAGCUAAUGAGUCAUACAAUGAAGCUCUGGGAGAGAGUCAUUGAGCAUAGAUUGAGGCAAGAGACACGGGUUUCGGACAACCAAUUCGGGUUCAUGCCAGGGCGCUCAACCAUGGAGGCAAUCUAUCUCUUACGAAGAUUGAUGGAAAGAUAUAGAAAUGGGAAAAAGGAUUUACACAUGGUCUUUAUAGAUUUGGAAAAAGCGUAUGAUAGGGUCCCAAGAGAGACAUUCUUUGGAGGAUUUUAGAGAAGAAAGGAGUACGAGUAGCAUAUAUCCAAGCUAUACAGGAUAUGUAUGAAGGAGCAAAGACUGCCGUAAGAACUCAUGAAGGACAAACCGAAAGCUUUCCCAUAACUGUAGGAUUACAUCAAGGCUCAUCCUUAAGUCCUUACCUUUUUGCGUUGGUAAUGGAUGAGUUAACAGGACAUAUUCAAGAUGAUAUUCCUUGGUGUAUGCUUUUCGCAGACGAUAUAGUGUUGAUAGAUGAAACUCAGGAAGGGGUAAAUGCAAAGCUUAACCUUUGGAGAGAAGUGUUGGAAUCUAAAGGUCUUCGCCUAAGCCGAUCAAAGACAGAAUAUAUAUAUAUGGAGUGCAAGUUCAGUGCAAAUGGAGGCCAAAACGAGUUAGGGGUGAGGAUCGGAGAUCAAGAAAUACCAAAGAGCGACCGUUUUCGUUACCUAGGAUCUAUCUUGCAAAAGAACGGAGAAUUAGAUGGAGAUCUCAACCAUAGAAUACAAGCUGGAUGGAUGAAGUGGAAGAGUGCAUCCGGCGUGUUGUGUGACCGCCGUAUGCCACUGAAGCUCAAGGGAAAAUUUUAAUAGGACGGCAAUAAGGCCGGCGAUGCUGUAUGGCACAGAAUGUUGGGCGGUGAAGCAUCAACACGUACACAAAAUGGGUGUAGCGGAGAUGAGGAUGCUUCGUUGGAUGUGUGGGCACACGAGAAAGGAUAAGAUUAGGAAUGAGGAUAUCCGGGGUAAAGUAGGAGUAGCCGAAAUUGAAGGAAAGAUGAGAGAAAAUCGGUUACGGUGGUUUGGACAUGUGCAAAGAAGGCCUACUGACGUUCCGAUUAGAAGAUGCGACUAUGGGACAGAGGUUCAGGGCCGAAGGGGUAGAGGAAGACCUAGGAAAACUUUGGAAGAGACCCUAAGAAAAGACUUAGAGUACUUGGAUCUAACGGAGGACAUGACACAGGACAGAACACAAUGGCGUUCUAAGAUUCAUAUAGCCGAUCCCACUCAGUGACUUUGAUUUUUCAAGUCUCCAACCGAGAAGUUUUCCUCACUCGGGAAAUUAAGGGAACACUACCUCAACCUACAUGCUCCACUCACAAAGCUUCAACAUACAAGCUUCAACAAAAGAAAAUUCAAAGAACUUAGCGAAGAAGGCUUUGGUGUAUUUAACACAAUACGUUGAAAUGAAGGAAAGCUUAUUUAUUGAUAUCCCCGAUAAGUUACAAAUAUGUACAUAUACUUGAGUCAAAAUAAACAAACAAGAGGGAGCCUUCACAAAGGUUGCUUAGGAGAAGUCUCAGCAGUCGGUAGAGCCCCAGAAAGAGAAGGCACCAGAGGGGGAUCAUUUGGAGCCUCAGUACUGGACAAAACCCUAGAAGGAGGAGGCAUCAGAGGUUGAUCAUUUGGAGCUUCAUUACGCGGUACAGCCCCAGAAGACGAAGGCAAUAAAUGCCUUUGGAACAAACCCACAAAUCUCUGAUGAUCAAGUAAAACCUGACCAUCAGAUUCCUUCAUCUGGUCAAGCUUCCUUCUUCAUGUUUGUAGCAUAGUCAUGUGCGAGCCGGUGCAACUGUUUAUUCUCAUGCUUGAGCCCUCUAAUCUCCUGUUUGAGACUCAUCACUUCAGCCGCCAAUGAUUCAACUUGGCGGGUUCGAGCAAAUAGGCGUUGGGCCAUAUUAGACACAGAACCUGCACACUGAACACUGAGAGCCAGAGAAUCCUUAACAGCUAACUCAUCAGACCGUUUGGAAAGUAGUCUGUUAUCUUUGGGAGUGAGAAGGUUCCUGGCCACCACCGCAGCGGUCAUAUCAUUCUUCAUCACGGAAUCCCCAACGGUAAGAGGACCAGUAGGGGAGACGAAGGAUGGGCGCCAUAUGUUGUCUGGAGAAGGCGGGGCUGCCUCUUCAACAAGGUUCAAGUCAAAACGACGGUCGGAGGGGCCAGACAUUUUCAAAGGUGUUGAAGAGAGAAGAGGUCGGACAAAUCAAGAUCUUAGAAGUGCAAGAAUGGAGCUUCUACUGGUGGAGAUUCAAGUGUGCUUUGGAACUUAAUGUCAGCCCCUAUAAAAAUCUGCACUCGACGGAGCUUUCAGAAAUCGAAGAGGCGCCUGCUCAGAAAUCGAAGAGGCGUUUGCUUUCUCUCAAAAGCUGGGCUGCUCAGAGACCACGAGGGUCGAUCUCAGAAAUCGAAGAGGCGUUUGCUUUCUCAAAAGCUGGGCUGCUCAGAGACCACGAGGGCCGAUCUCAGAAAUCGAAGAGGCACCUACUUUUCCAGCCUUGUCAGCACCUGUCACACGCACACUCAGCUUUGCGGAAAUUAUGGGCAUUCUGUCGAAGAUUUCUGGCGAAGUAGAAAGCACAUGAAUCGUUACUGUUCAAUCACCCACUUCCCACACACAACAGUAGCUCAUGGGUACCACAGAUAACUUUGCCAAAGUUCUCUGACAAAGUUGAGACACGUGAAGCUUGCAGCUCCCACUACAUCGCUCUGACCAAGAAGGGUAAAAGAAUUGCAAAGAAACAACACUAACAAAGUUUAGACACAUAAAUUUUGAAGGUCUAGCUACCAUAUUAUUACCCACAAGGGUAAAGGAACAAUACCACUGCUGGAUAAUUGGAAAGUCCCGGUGUGUCAACCUCUGUGCUUCGUGGCAAGGUAGACUAGCAAACAUGCCCAACCUUUACUCACAUUCGAGAAAACACUCCCAACAUGAUUGCUUGCCCAAAAUCGAAGAAGGCACCGCCCUCGAAUCUCGAGAGCCAGACUCCCAACAUGAUUACUUUCUCAAAAAUCGAAGAGAGAGUAAAGGAACAGUACCACUGCUGGAUAAUUGGAAAGUCCAUGUGUGUCAACCUUUGUGCUUCGUGGCAAGGUAGACUAGCAAACAUGCCCAACCUUUACUCACAUUCGAGAAAACACUCCCAACAAGAUUGCUUGCUCCAAAAUCGAAGAGGCACCGCCCUCCGAAUCUCGAGAGCCAGACUCCCAACAUGAUUACUUUCUCAAAAAUCGAAGAGAGGGUAAAUGAACAGUACCACUGCUGGAUAAUUGGAAAGUCCCUGUGUGUCAACCUCUGUGCUUCGUGGCAAGGUAGACUAGCAAACAUGCCCAACCUUUACUCACAUUCGAGAAAACACUCCCAACAAGAUUGCUUGCUCCAAAAUCGAAGAGGCACCGCCCUCCAAAUCUCGAGAGCCAGACUCCCAACAUGAUUACUUUCUCAAAAAUCGAAGAGACACCGCUCUCCGAAUCUCGAGAGCCAGACCCCCAGCAGGAUUGCUUUCUCAAAAAUCGAAGAGGCAUCAUUCUCCGAAUCUCGAGAGCCAGAUUCCCGACAGGAUUGCUUGUUCGAAAACCGAAGAGGCACCACUUUCCCAACUUCAAGAGCUGGAUCUCCUUGGAUAAAGCUUGUCUGUAAUCUUCACACGCAACAUCAGCUUUCCAGAUACCACAGACCACUUUUUCAAAGUGCUCUGACAAAGUUAAAACAUGUGAAGCUGGCAGCUCCCACUACCGUGCUAUGACCAAGCAGGGUAAAGGAAUAGCAUUAUUACUUGAUGUUAGGGAGACUCCUAUAUAUGUUGACCUUCAUCCCUAACGGACAGGCAGACCUGCAAAAAUGCUCAACCCUUUCUCUUAUCUGAGAGGGCACUCCCAACGAAGCCUUUCGAAAUAUUCAGCUUUCUUUCCCCCCGAUAAUACCUCUGUAAACAAGCUAUACUAGAGCAAGAAUAUCUCAUAUCAUCAGGGUUAAAAGCAAGAGUAUCCCAUAUCAUGUUUUUUCCCUGUCUUUUCCUUUGGCCUUGUUCUUACCUGCAAGACAAGGAGAAAGAGAGCAAUCAGUCAGCACUUGGAAUCAAGCUUCCAGCCAGGAACUGACUGCCUGGAACCCCUUACCUGAUUACUUACCUGGCAUUGCUCUCGAGUACUCAUCUUCAACAUCUUAUGCUUCCAGGGAAGAUACCGCAUCUGCCUGAGGAACAGAUAGGGCAAGUGAGAAGGAUACAAGGAAGCAUGUGGAGACAAGCGUAACAGCACACGUGCCGAUACAUCCACUACUCUGUCAAAAGCAAAAGUAUCCCAUAUCAGCAAGGUCGAACGUACUCUAGAUUUGAUGGACUUGUUUUGACCCUCAAAUUCUUCAGUCAGCCUUAUACUCUGGAGGAAACCAGAAAACCCUCCAGCCCGGUUUAAGAAUAAGCCUGUGGAAAGUUACUUCUUCAAAAGCAAAAGUAUCCCAUAUCAUUUCUUCUCAUUUUUCUUCUCUUUAUCCUUCAUGCUGCCUGCAAGAUAGGGAGAAUAUGAACAAUCAGCCGGAGCUCUGAUUGCUUACCUUGUCUGUCACCUCUUUCAGCAGAUCCCCUAGCCCGACGACUUGGGGGACUCCUACUACAUGGUUUGUAUCGCGUUUGACCAAGCCUGAAACUACAAGUAAGCUUCAAGUGAAAUUGAUACGUUACCUUGUGCAUCUCCACCAGUUACAGAUACCACCCCUGGAUGGAGGAAGAGUACUUCCAGAGAAGAUGCCACAUCUACCUAUGAGACAGAUAAGACAAGUCAAGACGAUACCACACUCCGGUACUUAGAAGUUUCGUGGUUACGAGAUCAUUCUCCCACAAUAUUUCCUAAUGUCAUUUGUACUAAAUCAUUCACUUGUACUCACUAAAGGAGAGCUUGAACCUAUGUACUUGUGUAAACCCUUCACAAUUAAUGAGAACUCCUCUAUUCCGUGGACGUAGCCAAUCUGGGUGAACCACGUACAUCUUGUGUUUGCUUUCCUAUCUCUAUCCAUUUAUAUACUUAUCCACACUAAUGACCGGAGCAAUCUAGAGAAGAUCACAAAAAGUGACCGUUUUCGCUACCUAGGAUCUAUCUUGCAAGAGAACGGAGAAUUAGAUGGAGAUCUCAACCAUAGAAUACAAGCUGGAUGGAUGAAGUGUAAGAGUGCACCCGGCGUGUUGUGUGACCGUCGUAGGCCACUGAAGCUCAAGGGAAAAUUUUAUAGGACGGCAAUAAGGCCAGCGAUGUUGUAUGGCACAGAAUGUUGGGCGGUGAAGCAUCAACACGCACACAAAAUGGGUGUAGCGGAGAUGAGGAUGCUUCGUGGGAUGUAUGGGCACACGAGAAAGGAUAAGAUUGGGAAUGAGGAUAUCCGAGGUAAAGUAGGAGUAGCCAAAAUUGAAGGAAAUAUGAGAGAAAAUCGGUUCCGGUGGUUUGGACAUGUGCAAAGAAGGCCUACUGACGCUCCGGUUCAAAAAUGUGACUACGGGACAGAGGUUCAGGGCCGAAGGGGUAGAGGAAGACCUAGGAAAACUUUGGAAGAGACCCUAAGAAAAGACUUGAGUACUUGGAUCUAACGGAGGACAUGAUACAAAACCGAGCGCAAUGGCGUUCUAGGAUUCAUAUAACCGACCCCACUUAGUGGGAAAAGGCUUUGUUGUUGUUGUUGUUGUUGUUUCUUCUUUCUUCUUCCUUCUUCUUCUUCCUCCGAAUGCAACUUUUUUUUUUUUCUUCCUCCUCCUUCCUUCCCCUUCUUCUUCCUUCACCUUCUCCUUCUUCUUCUUCCUCCGAAUCUAGGGAAUUUUUUUUUUCUUCUUCUUUCUUCUUCCUUCUUCCUUCUUCUUCUUCUUCUUCCUCCGACUGCAACUUUUUUUUCCUCCUUCUCCUUCUCCUUCUUCUUCUUCUCCUUCUUCUUCUUCUUCCGAUUGCAACUUUUGUUCUAUUUUUUUUUCUUCCUCCUUCCCCGUCUUCCUUCAUCCUUCUUCCUUCCCCUUCUUCUCCUUCUUCUCCUUCUUCCUUCUUCUUCUUCUUCCGACGAAUCUGGGGAAGAUGAAGGUUUUUAUUUUUUUGAGGAAGAUGAAGAAGAAGGAAGAAGGAAGAAGGAAGAAGAGAAGAGAGAGGAAGAAGAAGAAGGAAAGAAGGAAAAAGAAGGAGCGAAAAGAAAAGCAGGGAAGGAAAAAAAAAAAAAAGUUGCAGUCAGAGGGAAGGAGGAAGGAAAAAAAAAAAGUUGCAGUCGGAGGGAAGAAGAAGAAGAAAGAAGAAAAAAAAAAAAAACCGAAUCUGCAACCCAGAUUCGGAGGAAGAAGAAGAAGAAGAAGAGGAAGGAAGAAGGAGGAAGGAGAAGGACGAAGGAGGAAGAAGAAGGAGAAGGAGAAGGAAGAAGGAAGAAGGUGAUGUAGAACAAAUGGCGGAAUGGAUUGAGCAGGAGAUGGAACGUCGGAAGACAAAAGUGCGCAAUCAUAAAAGGGGUGUUAAUUUCCCACAAAAGUGGCUCGAGCCAUCUUUUGCAGAAAGUCAUCAAAACAGCAGCCUACUAAUAAAUUGAGUUUUUUGGGGUUUCAAGGGUUUUUAUUAUAUGUCAGUUAUUUUCAUUUUAAUUCCCUAAGUCUUUUGAGUUUCCCAAAGGGUUGUAAAAGGCUUAUGUAAGCCAUGGCUUUGUAAUCAUUUAGACAUCUUUCAAUCAAUUAAUCAAAUUAUCCUUUGGGAUUUCUAUCAACUGGUGGACUCCAGUAACUUUGUUCUACAAGGGUUUACGCUGCUAACCCUUUCAUUGCUUCGUGCUGCGUCAAUUGGUAUCAGAGCGGGUUUCUCCCGUCUUGGCAUCGUUGAUUAUCCUAUAUAUCCAUGGGUGAUCGUGAUCGUGAACCUGCCCCUAUCACUUGAGCAGACUUGGAUGCUCAAGCUGAACAGAUUACAAACUUGACUGCUCAAAUUGGAGAACUUCGUGAGAUGUUGGUCCAAGCCAUCGGUCCAAAUAAUCAUAGAGCUGCUGGAGUCAAUAAUCUGCGAGUUCCUAGGCUCCGUGUUCAAGACAGCGAAUCGGAGUCCGAAGAAGAAGAUGCGGAACCACACCCAGCUAACAAUCCAAAUCAUCAAAACCGCAACAACUUUGAUGACUUUCGGAUUAAGGCCGACAUUCCAACUUUUGCGGGAAACCUUAAAAUCGAAGAUUUCCUGGAUUGGCUAGUUGAAGUAGAAAGAUUCUUUGAUGUCAUGGAGGUUCCCGAGACAAAGAUGGUGAAGAUGGUGGCCUUCCGUCUCAAAGCAACUGCCGCUGUUUGGUGGGAUCCAUUACAAAAUACCCGGCAGAGGCAAGGAAAGAAUCGAAUCCGCACUUCGAGAAAAAUGAAGCAACUCUUGAUGGAUCGUUUCUUACUUGCGGAUUAUGAACAGCUUUUGUAUCGUAUGUACAUCAACUGCGUCCAAGGCAACAGAAACGUGACUGAUUAUACGGAUGAUUUCACGAGACUUGCGGAGCGAAACAAUCUGAUGGAGACAGAAAAUCAAAGGGUUGCGAGGUUCGUGAAUGGAUUGAAACCCUCCAUUCAAGAAAAGAUUGGGCUGCAAAAUUUGUGGAGUUUGCAAGAGGCCAUUAACAUGGCCUUGAAGGUGGAGAUAAUAGAGAAAGAAAGGCGACAAACCUCUUUCCGGAGGAAUGUGACGGAGCAUUUUGAAAACCCUGUUGUCUCGUCCACCGACAAUGGGAAAUCUGUGCCACAAAGUUCGGGAGAAUUGAAACCUUUAAGUUUUCCUUCUCGCAUCAAAUGAAGGGAGUAGCAGAACUUUUAACAAGGGGCAGAAUAGAAACCAACCUCCAAGGGAGAAUCCAUACGCCAAGCCUAUGGGAGACAUUUGUUAUCGUUGCAACAAAAUUGGGCAUCGAUCUAACGUUUGUCCUGAACGGAGACAAGCCAACUUGUUGGAGGCUGAAGGGGACCAAGAAGAAGUUGGUGGUGAUGACUAUGAAGGCGUUGAAUUCGCAACUGAAGAAGGAAUGGAUCGCCUCGCUAUGGUGUUGCAACGAGUUCUUUUAACACCAAAAGAGGAUGGGCAACGACACUGCAUUUUUCGUUCUCUUUGCUCCAUCAACAGCAAAGUUUGCGAAGUGAUUGUAGACAAUGGAAGUUGUGAAAAUUUUGUGGCCAAGAAAGUGGUGGAGCGUUUACAGCUACCAACGAAACCUCAUGGAUGGGUGAAGACCUUGGAUGGUGACAAAGGCCCUUCCUCUUCACAAAAACUUGCCGUGUCCCACUUUCCAUUUUUACCGUGAUGAAGUACUUUGCGAUGUUUUAUUGAUAUGGAUGCUUGUCAUAUACUAUUAGGGAGACCGUGGCAGUUUGAUGUGGAUUCAACAUUGAACGGUCGAGAUAAUGUGGUGUUAUUUACUUGGAAUAAUCAGAAGAUUGCGAUGACAAGUAAUACUAGUUUCCUCACUCUAAUGUGAUAAGCAGGAGAUUGAAGUGGCCAUAAAAGAAGCAGAUUCUUUCUUUCCGAUCGUGAUGAAGGGACUAUUGACAGAAAACAAAGAAGAGGAACAAAUCUCUUCAGAAGCGCAGCAAUUUCAUGAACUCAUUUCUCACAAGUUGCCUAACGAGCUUCCUCCCAUGAGGAACAUCCAACAUCAAAUUGAUUUGGUAACUGGAGCUAGCCUACCAAAUCUUCCCCAUUAUCGAAUGAGCCCUACAAAAUAUGAGAUUUUGAGGGAACAAAUUGAAGACUUGCUGCGAAAGGGGUUUAUCCGAGAAAGUAUGAGCCCUUGUGCAGUACCUGCCCUAUUGGUUCCAAAGAAAGACAAGGAAAAGAAAAAGGCAUGGCGUAUGUGUGUAGACAGCCAAGCUAUUAACCGAAUCACCAUCAAAUACAGAUUUCCAAUACCUCGGUUUGAUGACAUGCUAGAUGUGCUUGAAGGUUCGAAAUUAUUUUCAAAAAUUGACCUUCGCGCAGUGGCCUGGACCAUCAAAUUCAAGAGCAAGAUGAUGGAGUGCCUAGUGAUGCAAUGGAUUGUCUAAUGCGAGUACCUUCAUGAGGCUUAUGAAUCAGGUUCUUCAUCCCUUUAUUGGUCUCUUUGGUUUUACUUUGAUGACAUCUUAAUCUAUAGCAAGACCAGAGAACACAUGAUGCAUUUGAGACACGUUUUGGGUGUUUUGAAAGAAAAUAAAUUGUAUAUGAAUCUCAAGAAAUGCAUAUUUUGUACAAGUAAAUUGCUAUUUCUAGGAUUUGUGGUUGGUGAAAAUUGUAUUCAGGUGGAUGAUGAGAAGACCAAGGCCAUCCGAGAUUGGCCAACUUCGAAGUCCGUCUCCGACGUGAGGAGUUUCCAUGGCUUGGCUACUUUUUAUUGGAGAUUUGUGCAGCAUUUCAGCACCAUCACCGCACCCAUUACAGAAUGUUUGAAGAAAGGCAAGUUCCGUUGGGGAGAUGAACAAGAACAAAAGCUUUGUUUGAUUGAUCAAAGAGAAGCUUUGUAUUUCCGUAAGAGAAAGUAUUUUAAGAAGUCGAAUGUGAUGCAAGUGGAGUGGGAGUGGGUGCUGUCCUUUCCCAAGAGAAGAGACCUAUAGCUUUUUUCUCUGAAAAGCUAAGUGAAGCCUGUAAAAAAUGGAGCACUUGUGAUUAGGAGUUUUAUGCGGUGAUUCGACUUUAAAACAAUUAGAAGCAUGUUAAUAAAAUGCAUAUCAGAUGGGUAACGUUCUUGCAAAAAUUUCCAUUUGUUAUUAGGCACAAAUCUGGAGCUCAAAACCGUGUUGCCGAUGCCUUGAGUAGACGAGCAUCAUUGCUAAUCACUCUUUCCCAAGAAGUUGUAUGCAACCGAUGAUGAUUUUCAGGAAAUAUGGAGGAAAUGCAUUAAUCAUGAUUGAUGGAGGCAAAUGCAUUAUCAUGAACCUUACUCUAUCAAUAUCAACGAAGGUUUUCUGUUCAAAGUAAAAUUAUGCCUUUUUUCCAUGGAGGAGAAAGCUUUUGACAAGACGAUUUGCAAGGUUUAUGGUCCUCUUCCUUGUUAUUCGAGCAUUAAGUCAUCUUGGUCGUGACAAGACGAUAGCAAGUUUGGAAGAAAGGUACUUUUGGCCACAAUUGAAACGAGAUGUUGGAGUCAUUGUGAGGAAGUGUUACACUUGUCAGGUUUCAAAGGGGCAAGUCCAAAAUACGGGCCUUUACAUAUCUUUACCCAUUCCUAACGAUAUUUGGGAGGACAUUGCUAUGGAUUUUGUGCUCGGACUACCCCAAACGCAAAGAGGAGUGGAUUCAGUUUUUGUGGUGGUUGACAGGUUCUCCAAGAUGACUCAUUUCAUUGCUUGCAGAAAGACCGCUGAUGCAUCAAACAUAGCCAAACUGUUUUUUAGAGAGGUUGUUCGAUUGCAUGGGGUACCCAAGUCCAUCACUUCUGAUCGAGACACCAAGUUCUUGAGUCAUUUCUAGAUUACAUUAUGGAGAAUGUUUGGGACUACUUUAAAUCGAAGUACUAUUGCACAUCCCCAAACUGAUGGACAAACAGAGGUCACAAAUAGGACUCUUGGUAACAUGGUUCGAAGCAUUUGCAGAGAAAAAACAAAACAAUGGGACUAUGCCCUACCUCUGAUGGAGUUUUCUUAUAAUAGUGAUGUACAUCAUGCUACUGGUAAGUCACCAUUUUCCAUUGUUUACACUGCCACUCCUCAUCACGUGGUGGAUUUGGUGAAGCUACCUAGGGGACAUGGACUUAGCAUUGAUGCAGAAAAUAUGGCUGAAGAUGUGGUGGCAAUUCGUGAUGAGGUCAAGCAACGGCUUGAACAAACCAAUGUUAAGUAUAAGGAAGCAGUGGACAAACAUCGGCGGGUUAAAGUGUUUAAGGAAGGAGAUUCUGUCAUGGUGUUCUUGAGAAGAGAACGAUUCCCUGUUGGAACUUACAGCAAGUUAAAGCCACGAAAGUAUGGUCCAUUCAAAGUUAUCAAGCGAAUUAAUGACAAUGCCUAUGUUAUUGAUUUGCCGGAGUCUAUGGGAAUUUCCAAUACUUUCAACGUUGCUGAUUUGUAUACCCUCAAUGAUGAUGAAGUUCUUUAUCCUGAUCAUAACUCGGGGUCGAGUUCUUCUAAAGUGGAGGGGACUGAUGUAGAACAAAUGGCGGAAUGGAUAGAGGAGGAGAUGGAACGUCAGAAGACAAAAGUGCGCAAUCAUAAAAGGGGUGUUAAUUUCCCAUAAAAGUGGCUUGAGCCACUUUUCGCAGAAACGUGUAAAAAUAAUUUUCCCACAAAAGUGGCUCGAGCCAUCUUUUGCAGAAAGUCAUCAAAACAACAGCCUACUAAUAAAUUAAGUCUUUUGGGGUUUCAAGGGUCUUUAUGAUAUGUCAGUUAUUUUCAUUUCAAUUCCCCAAGUCUUUUGAGUUUCCCAAAAGGUUGUAAAAGGCUUAUUUAAGCCAUGGCUUUGUAAUCAUUUAGACAUCUUUCAAUCAAUUAAUCAAAUUAUCCUUUGGGAUUUCUAUCAACUGGUGGACUCCAGUAACUUUGUUCUACAAGGGUUUACGCUGGUAACCCUUUCAUUGCUUCGUGCUGCGUCAAUAGGAGAAGAAGGGGAAGGAAGGAGGAAGAUAAAAAAAGAAAAAAAGUUGCAGUCAGAGGAAGAAGGAAGAAGAAAGAAGAAAAGAAAAAAAAACGUGGAUGACACGUGGCCCCCAAUCAUUGUCCACAUGGGCACCACGUCACAAUUAACGGUAGAUUUAACAGUUUGACUAACAGAUGUAUGAGACUGUCCCAAAAUUUACACUUUAGGUAUGAAUGUGAGACG